AACAUCGCGCACCUGCGGGAACCUGCGGACGGAUCAUUAUCGAAUAAAUCUGGCAUGGUUGUAGCUGGCUCUUAGGAGCAUGUGCACGCCUGUCACCUUUAUCUUUCCACCUGUGCACCCUUUGUAGUCCCAGGAUAACCUCUCGCGCACUCUGGUGUUGCGGAUGCGAAGGUUGUCGUGUCUCACCAGGCCGGCUUCCAUCGAAUUUCCUGGGUCUAUGUUUUCUUAUACACCCCUGUA
Molecule: unclassified non-coding RNA, 240 nt
Filed under: soil metagenome
Description: partial contains 5.8S ribosomal RNA, internal transcribed spacer 2, and large subunit ribosomal RNA
Source: RNAcentral